This 255-nucleotide ribosomal RNA is filed under the name uncultured bacterium. Its description in RNAcentral is "partial 16S ribosomal RNA". It matches the Rfam family "Bacterial small subunit ribosomal RNA", at positions 8 to 249 of the family's 1533-position model. The record is from RNAcentral.
AGAGUUUGAUCCUGGCUCAGGAUGAACGCUAGCUACAGGCUUAACACAUGCAAGUCGAGGGGCAUCAGUUUGGUUUGCUUGCAAACCAAAGCUGGCGACCGGCGCACGGGUGAGUAACACGUAUCCAACCUGCCUCGAUACUCGGGGAUAGCCUUUCGAAAGAAAGAUUAACUAUCCGAUAGCAUAUAUUUCCCGCAUGGGUUUUAAUAUUAAAGAAAUUUCGGUAUGAGAUGGGGAUGCGUUCCAUUAGUUUGG